RNAcentral lists this ribosomal RNA (603 nucleotides) under uncultured fungus. Its description in RNAcentral is "eukaryotic LSU rRNA". It matches the Rfam family "Eukaryotic large subunit ribosomal RNA", at positions 23 to 641 of the family's 3401-position model. The record is from RNAcentral. Lineage: Eukaryota; Fungi.
ACCCGCUGAACUUAAGCAUAUCAAUAAGCGGAGGAAAAGAAACCAACAGGGAUUGCCCUAGUAACGGCGAGUGAAGCGGCAACAGCUCAAAUUUGAAAUCUGGCUCUUUUAGGGUCCGAGUUGUAAUUUGCAGAGGGCGCUUUGGCGUUGGCAGCGGUCCAAGUUCUUUGGAACAGGACGUCACAGAGGGUGAGAAUCCCGUACGUGGUCGCUAUCCUUCGCCGUGUAAAGCCCCUUCGACGAGUCGAGUUGUUUGGGAAUGCAGCUCUAAAUGGGAGGUAAAUUUCUUCUAAAGCUAAAUACUGGCCAGAGACCGAUAGCGCACAAGUAGAGUGAUCGAAAGAUGAAAAGCACUUUGGAAAGAGAGCCAAAUAGCACGUGAAAUUGUUGAAAGGGAAGCGCUUGCAGCCAGACUUGCCUGUAGUUGCUUAUCUGGACUUUUGUCCGGUGCACUCUUCUGCGGGCAGGCCAGCAUCAGUUUGGGCGGUUGGAUAAAGGUCUCUGUCAUGUACCUCCUUUCGGGGAGGCCUUAUAGGGGAGACGACAUGCAACCAGCCUGGACUGAGGUCCGCGCAUCUGCUAGGAUGCUGGCGUAAUGGCUGU